Molecule: ribosomal RNA, 449 nt
Filed under: uncultured bacterium
Lineage: Bacteria
Description: partial 16S ribosomal RNA
Rfam family: Bacterial small subunit ribosomal RNA
Source: RNAcentral
AACGAACGCUGGCGGCAUGCCUAACACAUGCAGGUCGAACGAUAUCUUCGGGUCUAGUGGCGCACGGGUGCGUAACGCGUGGGAAUCUGCCCUUUGGUUCGGAAUAACAGUUGGAAACGACUGCUAAUACCGGAUGAUGACGAAAGUCCAAAGAUUUAUCGCCAGAGGAUGAGCCCGCGUAGGAUUAGCUAGUUGGUGUGGUAAAGGCGCACCAAGGCGACGAUCCUUAGCUGGUCUGAGAGGAUGAUCAGCCACACUGGGACUGAGACACGGCCCAGACUCCUACGGGAGGCAGCAGUGGGGAAUAUUGGACAAUGGGCGAAAGCCUGAUCCAGCAAUGCCGCGUGAGUGAUGAAGGCCUUAGGGUUGUAAAGCUCUUUUACCCGGGAUGAUAAUGACAGUACCGGGAGAAUAAGCUCCGGCUAACUCCGUGCCAGCCGCCGCGGUAA